Suricata suricatta (meerkat) is the source of this 1322-nucleotide long non-coding RNA. RefSeq lists it as uncharacterized. The record is from RefSeq and is a predicted model, not a curated record. NCBI's taxonomy places the organism in Eukaryota, Metazoa, Chordata, Mammalia, Carnivora, Herpestidae. The transcript has 5 exons.
CUUUCAUUUCUCACCUGGAGGGAAACUCCCUCACUGAAACCAGUUUUUUGAGUUGGUGAGUGAAUUAUUGACCAUACCUGCCUCUGACCUCCACUGAGUCAAGACUUCUCCACUUCAGCCUGAAGAAACAGAAAAUCCCUUCCUCCUUUCCUCCUGUGAAACCUGUGAAGAUGGAGCCCUGUUUUCACUCUUCAUAAAAGCACAAGCUCUUGGAGACAGCCAGCAGAGGAUUUGACUGAUGUCAUGAGAAGGCAGUUUACAUGGCUAAUGUCAAAUUCCAUCUGUCUUCUCUGCAGUAGGUAGCAGCUAAAAUACCUCUUCAGGUCUUGUAAUUCUAGUUCAACUGUAUAGAGUCUUCCUCAAACGUGUGUUCUUUGGAGAUGUGGACAGCAUUUAUAUGUAGAAUUUUCAAACUCUUUCUAUUGUGGGUAUUUCUCCUCACUUUCCAGCAUAUGUUGUAAACUUGCAUUUUCUUUUCUAAAUUACUUUUAUAUAGUCAAUAAAAUUGAGCCACUCUACAAGUUAUUAUUGUGUUACCUUGUGCUGACUGACAAGAUACAAAACAGGAAACUCAGCUGAAAAGAUACAAAAACAGGAAAGUCACCAAAUGUUAUUUCCUUUUUACUAAGGGCAUACUCCUUUUUUGUUUUCUGACUGUUUUUGAUUAUUUUACAGUGCCUUCAGAUUCUUGUUCCCUCCUCCCUUCCUUACACCCCACCACCCAUAUGAUUUGAAGUUAUCUAUGGGAAGGUUGUUUUGAUAGAAUGAAUUCCUCCACUAUUUGAAGUUCAAUCUCAAUUUUACCUGUCUGGAUCUUCUGAUGAAUGGAAUCAUAUAGUAUAAACUCCAUUGUGUAAACCUUCUUUCAUGUAAUGUAACAUGUUUGUUCUUUAUUCAUAUUGUGUUAUUUAUCAGUGGUUUGUUCUCUUCCAUAGCUGAUUAACAUUCCACUGUAUGAAGAUACACUAUGUAUCCAAUCUCCUGUUGAGACACAUUUGAAAUGUCUUCAAUUUUUUAAUAUUAUGAAUGAAGGAUAGAUGUAUAUUUCACUUGAAGACAAGUGGUAGAUCUUCUCGCAAAAUUGUACCAUUUUAUAUACCCACCAACAACAUACGAGGAUCCAAAUUGCUACAUAUCCUUGCCAACAUAUGAAUGUGGACGUCAUUGUAAUUUUAAGCACUUUAGUGAUUUUUAGUGUUAUUUCAUUGUGAUUUUAAUGUGCAUAUCCUGAAUUCACUAUGGUAAGAACUUUUUUUAUGUGCACCUUGGCCAUUCAUAACUUUAUUUCCAAAUUCUUCCCUAAUUUUAAAAUUAGAAUGACA